AGUUUGCUGGCCUUCAAGGAGCAACAUGUUACCUGCAUCCACCUGGAUACAACCACAAGACUAUCAAGGUUUACUUUGACUGCAGGACGAGCAGCAUGUGGACAAGCCAGUCAAGAAGGACUGAGGUUCAUGUGAACUCAGAAAGAACAUUGAAGACAGACGAGUUGACUGAAAUAUCAUCAACAUGGAGGAGACACUGUGACUGAACCUCGUGGUUAUAAUGUGGCGGGAGGAGACGCCCCUGAACUGAAGGCCACGACCAUCAAUCCAUCAGGAGGGGAAACCCAGCGGCAGCCGCGGUACACAAUGCAGGACGUUACUCUUUUAUAGCUGCAUGUUUGUGAGCUCUGAUGAGGGGGGGGGGGAUAUGUAUCAGGUCAGAGCCGUGUUGUGUUCAAUGUGACAGUAAAAGAGUGGGAUAUUCCUUUGAGGAUGGGGAGGGACCCCCACAGGCUGGGAGAUAAUGAGCUCAGAGAGAACCAGUGCAUGUAUUAUACAAAUAUUAAUGCAUACAUUUGAAAAAGUAAUGGACUCAUAAAUAAUCUGUAAAAAACUAAUGUGGGGAAAUAAAGAGAAAUAAAUAAAAGAAUAAAUAAAAUUAUGGGGAAAUAAAAUCUGCUAUUCCACUAAUAUUGACGUUUACAUGCAGCCGUGCACACCAUCAACGCCCCCAUGACGUCCGCCCGCCCUGUAAAGAACUUAGUUUUCUCUCCUUUACAAACUGCUUCUUUUCAUCAAAACAGGAUUUUUUAGGAUUUUCUUUCUCCUGUGGACGACUUGUUGGACAGUACAAACUCAGUCUGAGAUUUAGAGGAGCUGGUAGGUGGAGCCAGGCUAGCUGUUUCCAGUCUUUAUGCUAAGCUAACUGGCUGCUGGCUGCGAUUAGAGAUGCAGGAUUUGUGUGAUGUCUUGUCACCUCCUGGCACUUUUAUUAAGAGUAAACUAUUAAAAAUGUCCUCGAGCAAAACACCAAAUCUCU
Long non-coding RNA from Cottoperca gobio, 979 nucleotides. RefSeq lists it as uncharacterized. The record is from RefSeq and is a predicted model, not a curated record. NCBI's taxonomy places the organism in Eukaryota, Metazoa, Chordata, Actinopteri, Perciformes, Bovichtidae. The transcript is spliced from 3 exons.